AACCCCGCGUAUCUCCGAGCGGGGAACCCGCAGCACCUCCCCUCCGGGGGCCGCAGAGAAGCGGCGAGCGGGACCCCAGGACAGUCGGUCCCCACCUGGCGGCGACUGAUCCUUACCUGACGGCGCCGCGUCCCCGCCGCCGCCCGCCCUCCUCCCGCUGCUAUAGCUACGGGCAGCCGCCGCGGCCGCGCUCUCGCGAGAGGAGCCAUUUUCCUGUCACAGCCCCGGGCCGCGCCGCUGGCGGGCGCCUCCUCUCGCGAGAGCGCCGAGGGGAGGCGGGGACCGGGCGCCUUCCCUCAGGACGGGGCGGUGGCUGUGGGUCCCCUCAGUGGGUCUCCUGUCAUGUCCAGGGUCGGCGUGACCCAGCCAGCUUCCCCUCACAGCUGGGCCUUCGGCAGUGCUUGCUGCAUAGAGCUGCCUGGGUACAAACGUCUUUUUCUUGCCGGAGGGAAAAUAAGUGCGCUCGCAGAGCGUGUGUAAUCCCGAAGGAUUGCAAAGUGUGGUGUGUGAGCGCUGUGGGACGUGCCUGUGGCCAAAGGGAGCAGGCCGCCACGUUCACUGCCACCAAAAGUUUGGAUGUAGUCCAUAUUAGAGCUGGAUUUAUUCACAGUGCUCCCAAGGUCUCAGAAAUACCGUAACAGUCCUCAGAGCCAUGCCACCAAUUAUUGCCUGUUUUUCUUCCUGUAUGUGUGGCAUCGAUACAACUGUUACAAGAAAUCAAAUAGAUUUUGAGGCUGCAUAUUUGAGAGGCAACAGCAAAUUCAUCUUUUUGAAAUCUUGAACCUUGUUGGCUUCAGACAAGCUCACUCCAAGACAGCGUUGCUCAGGAAUGGCGCCUCAAGCAGGAGUCUUAACACAGUCAAAGCUGGGUAAGUGCAGCUUUGUCUUUGGUAUUUGUAGCUUGCCUCUGGUCAGGUUGUUUGGAGUGAAGAGAGAUUUUACUUGGGUGGAAUGCACGGCUCAUGGCAUUGGUAACAAGUUGUGGAGUUUUACAUAUAUGCAUAUUCACAUCACAAAAGUGACUUCACAGUUAGGCUUGACUGAGCCUGUUGGUGGAAGUCCCAGAAGAGAAGCCCAGGAGUGUCAACUGAGAAGGCUGAUAACCCUCUCUGCUUGGCCCAGGGGACAGAUUGCUGUCCUCUGUGGUAAGCUCUGCCUUGUCUGUGUGUUUCUGGAGGAAGUGGACAGUAUCAGUCACCUCUGGACAUCUUAAAACCCACUCAAAGAAAAGAACAAUUGUGGCAGGUUCAUCUAAUACAUAGUCCUCUGGCUUGCCUAAAAAUUUUGGGCUCUUGUCUUUCAAGUUGUUAUCACUAGCAAGAGCCUGAUCCUGCAGGCUGAGUGCCUGGAUCGGAUGAAUUCUGAAUUCUCUAAGGCUGCUCCAUGUGUCUCAUGAAAAAUAGAUGAUGAAAGAUGAUCCAACUAAUAGAGCUGAGAUCUCUAAGUAUCUCAAGGCCCUGACGUCACUGCAGGCAGUCCCCAGGAGGAGACACCGUGUGCUCCCCAUCAGCUCCUCGCUGUGCCCUAAAGAAAAUGAUUGAGGCCAGCAAAUGUGUUUCUAUUUCCGCCUCACUGAUAAAGAGCUUCCCAAAGGCUUGAUGCCUAUGUGGUUACUAACACUUCUGAAGUUACCAUGACGGUGUCCUCUUGGUAGCAGCCACUCAAACGUUCCUUAAUAGUGGGAUGGGUGGUUUAAAAUUCAGACACUUGAAUAUGAGAGUAGGGAUGACUGCAUAAGACUACCUGCUGUUUUUAUCAAAAAUAAGGUAAUGAGGUGCCCAUUGGUCCUUAAUUUGGCAUUACACAACC
Molecule: long non-coding RNA, 1809 nt
Organism: Oxyura jamaicensis (ruddy duck)
Lineage: Eukaryota; Metazoa; Chordata; Aves; Anseriformes; Anatidae
Exons: 4
Source: RefSeq, a predicted model, not a curated record